Long non-coding RNA from Ipomoea triloba (trilobed morning glory), 4405 nucleotides. RefSeq lists it as uncharacterized. The record is from RefSeq and is a predicted model, not a curated record. NCBI's taxonomy places the organism in Eukaryota, Viridiplantae, Streptophyta, Magnoliopsida, Solanales, Convolvulaceae. The transcript is spliced from 3 exons.
UCCUUGCUACUUGCCACUUGCUACUACCGCGAAACUGCCGUCUACUCCGCCGAGACUACCGUCAUUGCUCUCUGCCUGGAAUGCCUGCGACCGCCUCUCUCACCUCUCUGCCUCUCGCCACUCGCUACCGGAGUACCGGCUACUGCCCCUCUCGGCCUCUCGUCUCCUCUCAGGAUUCAGGAGUCCUCGGUCCUCUGUGGCUCUAUCGCUCUGCCCCUGUCUGUGCCGCACCUCGCCACUCGCCAGUCCUCUGUGCCCUAAUUUCGCCAGUCAGCAGCCCAGCAUGAUUCCUCAGUGAGUCACUGUCUCACAAUCUCAGCUUCUCAGUGUGCAAAACUUUGGAGUUUGGAAUCUUUAAUUUGCCCUCAAUUUUUGUGCUGCCAAAUGGGGUCACAUGUUGCAACUUAAAACAUAAUUCUUUGUUGCCAAAAAUUCAAAGUAGCUUCUACGAACCCGAAAAUGGAAGAAAAAAAAAAAGACCCUGGUUAACUGAUACCAGAUGAGAACUGUAUGAAUUGUAUUGAAUGAGAUAGUUCAAAUAUAUAGAUUACAUGGAUAUAUAUAAUGAGAGAAUUUCAGAAAAAUUAGAAUAAGGGAAUCACAGGAAGCCUAGAAUAAAGAGUUAUAAUCUUAACUCAAAUACAUAGAAUCCUAAUACAAAGGUCAUAGUAAAGAUCAAUGAAGCCACAAGUAGAUAUGUUCGAUUUGUUUCUACCAUAAAAGCAACAUCCUUUUCUGUAUCAGCAUACUCUUUCCUCUUUUAUUUUUUGUAAGUUUAAGUACUCCACUUUGAGGACCAAUGUUACCACCAUUCCUUACGUUUUCAACCCUGCUAUUUACACAAAUGUAACAGUUUACAUAUAUGGCAUGAUCAUAAUUUGAAUUAUAUAUAUAUGACAUGCAUAAAAUAAUGAUAUAGAAGUAGUAAAAUGUACUUACUAAAAAAUACUUAGACAAUGACUAUUUUCUGUUUUAGAAGGCCUUGGCAAAUGGAGCUUGGUGUUGUUUAUUAAACACCAAAUACUUCCACAUAAGAACCUGCAUAGCAACACGUUCCAAAGAAUUGUGCCUAGAUCUCUACAACUGGAAAGCAGAAAAGCCACCGGUGUCUUGCCAUCCUUGUCUUUACCCUCAAUCAAGUUGUCAACCUGGGGAUACUUCAAAAUAUAGUCUAUUGCAUUCAAGUUAUGUCCUAGUACUGCUUCGUGAAGGACAUUUUGGGAUUUACACUUAAGCAUUAUCUAACAAUUUGGGAAAUUAUUUGACAUGUAUUCAAGCAUUCCAACAUUGCCAUACCUUACUGCUAUGUGAAAUGUUGUGGUCUACUUAUCACCUUUGCCUGCGCAAAUGUAAGCUGGACAACUUCUUUCGGCAAGAAUCAUACGGACAGCCUCACUAUACUGGUUUUUUAUAGCAUAGUGUAGUGGUGUCCAACCCGAAUCGUCAGUCAUGUCGCACAAGUAGAUCUCCCUCUUCAUUAGUAAUUGCGUGCAUUCUGAAGGAUAUAUAUCAAUGAUACAAUUAUAUGAAAACAGUAUAUAGCUACUUAUUAUAUAUAUUUGGUCAGGCAUGGUGGCCACGUACAGCGGCAUAUAUAUGAUUUUUAUCUUCUAUAUUAGUCCACUCACAUUUUUAUUAUACAAUCAUAAAGACCAAUUAAUUAAUAGUAUUUAAAAGAAGUAAAAGAGCCCAUAGAUUAAAGUUGGUAAAACAAAUUAAUGACCAUUUAAUUUGCAUUACACAUAUAUACGGAGUAUGCAAUUAGCUAGGUUUAAUAAGUGAACUUGGGGAAGAUACUAACCAUGCACAUUUCGGCAAUUAGCUAGGUUUAAUAGGUGAACUUGGGGAAGAUACUAACCAUGCACAUUUCGGCCCACGCUACGUGGCCACCCCUACUUGACCAAACAUAUAUAAUAAGUAGCUAUAUAUUGUUUUCAUAUAAUUGUACCACUGAUAUAUAUAUCCUUCAGAAUGCACGGAAUUACUAAUGAAGAGGGAGAUCUGCUUGUGCGACAUGACAUGAUUGACGAAUCGGGUUGGACGCCACUACACUAUGCUAUAAAAAACCAGAAUAGUGAAACUGCCCGUAUGAUUUUUGCUGAAAAAAAUUUUGUUCAGUUUACAUUUGCGCAGGCAAAGGUGAUAAGUGGACCACGACAUUUCACAUAGCAGCAGGGUAUGAGAAUGUUGGAAUGAUUGAAUACAUGUCAAAUAACUUCACAGAUCAUUGGAUGAUGCUUAAUUGCAAAUCCAAAAUGUCCUUCACAAAGCGGUACUGGGACAUAGAUUGAAUGCAAUAGACUAUAUUUUGAAGUAUCCCCAAGUUGACAACAUGAUUGAGGGUAAAGACGAGAAUGGCAAGACACUGUUGGCCCUGCUUUUCGGUUGUAGUUACAGAUCUAGGCGCAAAUCUUUGGAACGUGUUGCUAUGCAGGUUCUUAUAUGGAAGUAUUUAAUGUUCAAUAAACAACAUCAAACUCCAUUUGCCAAGGCCUUCCAAAAUAGAAAGUAGUCGUUGUGUAAGUAUUUCUUAGUAAGUACACUUUAUUACUUCUAUAUCAAUAUUUUAUGCAUGCCAUAUAUAUAAUAUAUAAAAUUCAAAUUAUGAUUAUGUCAUAUAUGUGAACUGUUACAUUUGUGUAAAUGGCAGGGUUGAAAAUGUUAGGAAUGGUGGUAACAUUGAUCCUCAAAGUGGAGUUCUUAAACUUAUAGAAAAUAAAAAAAAGAAGGAAAGAGUAUGCUGGUAUAGAAAAAGAUGUUGCUUUUAUGGUAGAAACAAGUCGAACAUAUCUACUUGUGGCUUCAUUGAUCUUUACUGUGACCUUUGUAUUAGGACUCUAUGUAUUUGAGUAGGAUUAUAACUCUUUAUUCUAGGCUUCCUGUGAUUUCCCUAUUCUAAUUUUCCUGAGAUUCUCUCAUUAUAUAUAUCUAUGUAAUCUGUUUUGAACUAUCUCAUUCAAUAUAAUUCAUGCAGUACGCCAUGGCUACUCGAAGCUAGUCUCAGGCUCCCCAUACAGCUCUAUCUGCUCAGGUUUGUCCUACUGAACCCACUUGUUACACUCAAACAGUCACCGAAUGGCGUGAGGCAAUAGAUCACGAAUUCAAUGCUCUUCUUCAAAAUCAGACAUGGUAUCUUGUUCCUUCUAGAUCUGAUAUGAAUGUUGGAUGCAAAUGGGUCUUUCGCACAAAAUGAAAGACUGAUGGUACAAUUGAGAGACACAAGGCUAAGUUAGUAGCAAAGGGUUUUAGUCUGGUUCCAGGUCAGGAUUUCUUUGAUACAUUCAGCCUUGUGGUUAAACCCAAUACUGUCAGAUUAUUAUUGUUUUUAGCUAUAUACUCUGGUUGGGUUGUUAGAUAGUUUGAUGUCCAUAAUGCCUAUCUAAAUGACAAUUUAACUGAAACUGUGUAUAUGAAGCAACCCCUGGUUAUGUUAAUGGUCAGUAUCCCCUACCUAUGUUUGUUUGCUUAAAUGUUCGUUGUAUGGUUUAAAACAGGCUCCUAGAGCUUGGUUCAAUCGUCUACACUCCUUUUUACUUUCUGUUGGUUUUCAAGCAUCCAAAACAGAUGUGCCUCUGUUUUAUUACUCACAAGAUUUUGCUUACGUGUACCUCUUAGUCUAUGUUGAUGACAUACUUGUAAUGAGAGUGAUCCAAAUCUUAUAACUCAUCUAUUAUCAAAGUUGUCUACUGCUUUUAAGAUUAUGGAUCUUGGUGAACUUGGUUUCUUUCUUGGUAUUGAGACAGUUAAAUGUGAUGAUGGGAUACUAUUUUUACAAAAGAGAUAUAUGACUGAUAUUUUAAACCUUGUUGGAGUGACAGAAUGCAAAGCAUUAUCUACUCCUAUUUUUGUUUCGAAAUCUAUUCCUUUCAGUGCAGACUUGUAUGAGGAUUUUACCAAUAUAGGAGUUUGGCAGGGGCACUAUAAUAUCUGACUGUCACGCGUCCGGAUCUAUCCUUUGCAGUCAACCAACUAUGUCAACAUAUGUAUGCUCCUAUAGUUAAAUGAACUGAAACGAGUAUGUCAACAUAUGUCAUCAUUGGGAACAACUGAAACGAGUAUUGAGUUCUCAUCCUUUGCAACGUUUUUAACACUCCCAAGAGGAAACAACAGCAGUCCCGGAGAAACAGGAGGAUCACCGAUAUUAUUAGCCAAUACAUGUUUGCAGUUAUUUGUUCUAAUGGGUUUGGUUGCUUUUAUGUGCUCUGUUGUGUCCAUAUUGUUCUUGUUUAUUUCCUUUCAAAUAUUUGUUGUCAAAGCAAAAUCACGAGCCCAAGUCCAACAUUCCAACAGUUCCAAUUGUUCUUAAUUCCUUUAACUUGAGGCUAAGUUAUUUAACAUAUCUAAUACCUAAAAACUAAUUAGUGUAAUUGAAAGUUAUAUAUUCAUUUAUGCCCAUGUUUUUUGA